This 521-nucleotide ribosomal RNA is filed under the name uncultured bacterium. Its description in RNAcentral is "partial 16S ribosomal RNA". It matches the Rfam family "Bacterial small subunit ribosomal RNA", at positions 28 to 523 of the family's 1533-position model. The record is from RNAcentral.
GGUGAACGCUGGCGGCGUGCCUAAUACAUGCAAGUCGAACGGUCUUUUCUAUGGAAGCUUGCUCCACUGAGAAGAUAGUGGCGAACGGGUGAGUAACACGUUGGUAACCUGCCCAGAAGAGGGUGAUCACAUCCGGAAACGGGUGCUAAUACCGAAUAGGUUUCUUGGUCGCAUGAUCAAGAAAGGAAAGACGGCAUUUGUGCUGUCGCUUAUGGAUGGACCCGUGGCGUAUUAGUUAGUUGGUGAGGUAACGGCUCACCAAGACGAUGAUACGUAGCCGACCUGAGAGGGUGAUAGGCCACAUUGGGACUGAGACACGGCCCAAGCUCAUACGUGAGGCAGCAGUGGGGAAUCUUCCGCAAGGGACGAAAGUCUGACGGAGCAACGCCGCGUGAGUGAAGAAGGUUUUCGGAUCGUAAAACUCUGUUGUCAGAGAAGAACAAGUCGGAGAGUAACUGCUCCGGCCUUGACGGUAUCUGACCAGAAAGCCACGGCUAACUACGUGCCAGCCGCCGCAGUAA